ACAUCCCUUCUGUCUGCACCUGUGGGGAAAAUCUUAAGGUUUAGUCAGGUGGGGUGUGA
This 59-nucleotide microRNA precursor is filed under the name Ornithorhynchus anatinus (platypus). Its description in RNAcentral is "Oan-Mir-1380_pre stem-loop". Lineage: Eukaryota; Metazoa; Chordata; Mammalia; Monotremata; Ornithorhynchidae. The record is from RNAcentral.